AAUCGAACUCGGAGAUAGCUGGUUCUCCUCGAAAUAGCUUUAGGGCUAGCGUCGUGUUAGUAGCACAUGGGGGUAGAGCUCUGUAAAGGACUGGGGCGGGCAACUGUACCCACCCUUAACAAACUACGAAUACCAUGUGUGUAAUCACGGCAGUUAGAACAUCGGUGCUAAGAUCGGUGCUCAAAAGGGAAACAGCCCAGACCAUCAUCUAAGGUCCCUAAAUUAACGUUCAGUGGGAAACAAGGUGAGAUUUCUUAAACAGCUAGGAUGUUGGCUUAGAAGCAGCCAUUCAUUUAAAGAGUGCGUAACAGCUCACUAGUCAAGAGAUCUUGCGUGGAAAAUGUAACGGGGCUAAAACGUUAUACCGAAGAUAUGGAUGUCAGAUUUAUCUGGCGUGGUAGAGGAGCGUUCCUAUCAGCAGUGAAGUCGAAUCGGAAGAUUCGGUGGAGCGGUAGGAAGUGAGAAUGCUGGAAUGAGUAACCAUAAGAGAGGUGAGAAUCCUCUCGGCCGUAAGAGCAAGGUUUCCUGAGCCAUGGUAAUCAUCUCAGGGUUAGUCGGGCCUAAGCCGAGGCGCAGAGCGUAGGCGAUGGACAUCAGGUUAAUAUUCCUGAACCGGUUAAGUUUUGUACACUGUUCACGGGGAAGUAAUCGAAGCGGAUUCAUGGUUUAUCCGUCCAACCGAGCGGGAACGCAAAGGGAGUGAAAGUGAUUCUUCGGAGUCGCGAUUUUGGUGAAAGCCCUGGCUAGAAAAGCAGGUGUACGCGUGGACUUAGCCGCCCGUACCGCAAACCAACACAGGUGCUCGAGUCGAGUAGACUCAGGCUUACGAGCGAACCUUCGCUAAGGAACUCGGCAAUACAGCGACCGUAACUUCGGGAUAAGGUCUGCCCCCACUUCGGUGGAUAUCAGCCGCGUUCACUCAGUGAAUAUUAGGUUAAAGAGUACAUUUUUAAUCACAAAACGAAUUUUCUGAGAUAGAGCAAACGAAUUGUUCUUUUGAACGCGAACCUCUGACGUCUAACGAUGUGGGGGCCGCAGCAAAAGAGCCCACGGAACUGUUUAUCAAAAACACAGGUCUCUGCUAACACGAAAGUGGAUGUAUAGGGGCUGACUCCUGCCCAAUGCUGGAAGGUUAAGGGGAGCGCUUCACGGUGCGAACUGAAGCCCUAGUCAAUGGCGGCGGUAACUAUAACCGUCCUAAGGUAGCGAAAUUCCUUGUCAGGUAAGUUCUGACCCGCACGAAUGGAGUAAUCAUGUGGGCACUGUCUCAGCGAAGGACUCGGUGAAAGUGCAUUGGCGGUAAAGAUGCCGUCUGUCCGUACCAGGACGAAAAGACCCCAUGGAGCUUUACUACAGCUUUACAUUGAAUAUGGUUUCAACAUGUGUAGCAUAGGUGGGAGACUUUGAAGCAGAUACGCCAGUAUUUGUGGAGUCACCAAGUGAAAUACCACCCUUGUUGUGAUUGUGUUCUCACGCUGACCGUUAUCCGGUUAGCGGACCGUGUAUGGUGGGUAGUUUAACUGGGGCGGUUGCCUCCUAAAGAGUAGCGGAGGCGUUCAAAGGUUGGCUAACUUCGGAUGGAAAUCGAAGUGAUAGUGUAUGCGCAUAAGCCAGCUUGACUGUGAGGAGUACAUUCCAAUCAGAGACGAAAGUCGGAGCAAGUGAUCCGCUGUACGUACAUUUGUACAUGAAUGUGGGAUCGACAGCGCAAACGGAUAAAAGUUACCCUGGGGAUAACAGGCUUAUAGCGCCCAAUAGUUCACAUAGACGGCGCUGUUUGGCACCUCGAUGUCGGCUCAUCACAUCCUGGAGGGGGAGCACCUUCCAAGGGUUCGGCUGUUCGCCGAUUAAAGUGGUACGCGAGCUGGGUUCAGAACGUCGUGAGACAGUUCGGUUUAUAUCCGGUAUGGACGAUAGGAAACUUGAGAGGAUCUACCCCUAGUACGAGAGGACCGGGGCGGACGCACCUCUGGUGUAUCGAUUGUGGCCACCUGCUGCAUUGUCGAGUAGCUAUGUGCGGACUAGAUAAGCGCUGAAAGCAUAUUAAGCGCGAAACUAACCUCAAGAUAAGGUUUCCCUAUGAGGACACAGAAAGACUAUCUGUUUGAUAGGCGCAAGGUGGAAGUGCAGUAAUGUAUGGAGCUAAAGCGUACUAAUAGUCCCAUUGCCUUUUUA
Molecule: ribosomal RNA, 2175 nt
Filed under: human oral metagenome
Description: bacterial LSU rRNA
Rfam family: Bacterial large subunit ribosomal RNA
Source: RNAcentral